RNAcentral lists this transfer RNA (73 nucleotides) under Phycisphaerales bacterium. RNAcentral's name for it is "tRNA-Ala". It matches the Rfam family "tRNA". Rfam says of the family: Transfer RNA (tRNA) molecules are approximately 80 nucleotides in length. Their secondary structure includes four short double-helical elements and three loops (D, anti-codon, and T loops). The record is from RNAcentral. Lineage: Bacteria; Pseudomonadati; Planctomycetota; Phycisphaerae; Phycisphaerales.
GGGGGUGUAGCUCAGGUGGUAGAGCGCUUCCAUGGCAUGGAAGAGGUCACGAGUUCGAGUCUCGUCACCUCCA